This 429-nucleotide ribosomal RNA is filed under the name Chloroflexota bacterium. RNAcentral's name for it is "Chloroflexi bacterium partial 16S ribosomal RNA". It matches the Rfam family "Bacterial small subunit ribosomal RNA", at positions 355 to 776 of the family's 1533-position model. The record is from RNAcentral. Lineage: Bacteria; Bacillati; Chloroflexota.
UGGGGAAUAUUGCACAAUGGGCGCAAGCCUGAUGCAGCCAUGCCGCGUGUAUGAAGAAGGCCUUCGGGUUGUAAAGUACUUUCAGCGGGGAGGAAGGGAGUAAAGUUAAUACCUUUGCUCAUUGACGUUACCCGCAGAAGAAGCACCGGCUAACUCCGUGCCAGCAGCCGCGGUAAUACGGAGGGUGCAAGCGUUAAUCGGAAUUACUGGGCGUAAAGCGCACGCAGGCGGUUUGUUAAGUCAGAUGUGAAAUCCCCGGGCUCAACCUGGGAACUGCAUCUGAUACUGGCAAGCUUGAGUCUCGUAGAGGGGGGUAGAAUUCCAUGUGUAGCGGUGAAAUGCGUAGAGAUGUGUAGGAAUACCGGUGGCGAAGGCGGCCCCCUGGACAAAGACUGACGCUCAGGUGCGAAAGCGUGGGGAGCAAACAGG